Molecule: ribosomal RNA, 484 nt
Filed under: uncultured bacterium
Lineage: Bacteria
Description: partial 16S ribosomal RNA
Rfam family: Bacterial small subunit ribosomal RNA
Source: RNAcentral
AUUGAACGCUGGCGGCAGGCCUAACACAUGCAAGUCGAGCGGAUGAAGGGAGCUUGCUCCUGGAUUCAGCGGCGGACGGGCGAGUAAUGCCUAGGAAUCUGCCUGGUAGUGGGGGAUAACGUCCGGAAACGGGAGCUAAUACCGCAUACGUCCUGAGGGAGAAAGUGGGGGAUCUUCGGACCUCACGCUAUCAGAUGAGCCUAGGUCGGAUUAGCUAGUUGGUGGGGUAAAGGCCUACCAAGGCGACGAUCCGUAACUGGUCUGAGAGGAUGAUCAGUCACACUGGAACUGAGACACGGUCCAGACUCCUACGGGAGGCAGCAGUGGGGAAUAUUGGACAAUGGGCGAAAGCCUGAUCCAGCCAUGCCGCGUGUGUGAAGAAGGUCUUCGGAUUGUAAAGCACUUUAAGUUGGGAGGAAGAGCAGUAAGUUAAUACCUUGCUGUUUUGACGUUACCAACAGAAUAAGCACCGGCUAACUUCGUG